UACGUAGGGUGCAAGCGUUGUCCGGAAUUAUUGGGCGUAAAGAGCGUGUAGGCGGCUUGAUAAGUCUGCUGUGAAAGUCCAGGGCUCAACCCUGGAAAGCCGGUGGAUACUGUCGAGCUAGAGUCCGGAAGGGGCGAGUGGAAUUCCUGGUGUAGCGGUGAAAUGCGCAGAUAUCAGGAGGAACACCAAUGGCGAAGGCAGCUCGCUGGGACGGUACUGACGCUGAGACGCGAAAGCGUGGGGAG
This 245-nucleotide ribosomal RNA is filed under the name uncultured bacterium. RNAcentral describes it as "partial 16S ribosomal RNA". It matches the Rfam family "Bacterial small subunit ribosomal RNA", at positions 524 to 768 of the family's 1533-position model. The record is from RNAcentral.